UACGUAGGGUGCAAGCGUUAAUCGGAAUUACUGAACGUAAAGCGUGCGCAGACGGCUUUGCAAGACAGAUGUGAAAUCCCCGGGCUCAACCUGGGAACUACAUUUAUGACUGCAUGGCUAGAGUACGGUAGAAGGGGAUGGAAUUCCGCGUGUAGCAGUGAAAUGCGUAGAUAUGCGGAGGAACACCGAUGACGAAGGCAAUCCCCUGGACCUAUACUGACGCUCAUGCACGAAAGCGUGGGGAGCAAACAAG
Molecule: ribosomal RNA, 253 nt
Filed under: uncultured bacterium
Lineage: Bacteria
Description: partial 16S ribosomal RNA
Rfam family: Bacterial small subunit ribosomal RNA
Source: RNAcentral